This 940-nucleotide long non-coding RNA is filed under the name Gallus gallus (chicken). The record is from RNAcentral. Lineage: Eukaryota; Metazoa; Chordata; Aves; Galliformes; Phasianidae.
AUAUAUAUAUAUACACAAUACAUAUACUAUAUAAUAUAUAUAUACAGGAAGUAUAUUCCUGUCUGGGCCUCUGGCUCACAGUCCCAACACCAUGUCAUGCCAGGCUCUGUUCAGCAGUCAGGUAAGGUAAGGCCCAACAAGUAGUUCAAGGCACAAUCCACAAUCAGUUUCUUUUAAAGAGGAAAUGUAAGUUCUCUGACAUAAGACAUACAAUUUUUACUUAAAUUUAAAAGGCGGCAUUUUAUUUAAACGUCUGGAGAUACUUUGUUAUUUGCACUUAGAAAACACAUGUUCUCUAUAUUUUCAGAUUUCCUCUUUCAGUUUCUAAGAGGAUAAAAAUAUUAAAAUUAGUGAAGCUAGGUUCAGUGGGGAAGGGUUUUGUGCGUUGCUGGAUUUGACCUGUGGAGUUAGGCAUCUUUUUGCAGUAGCUGCUCUUGUUGUUUUGCUUUCAGCUCCUGAUUGUACCUCCAUAUUCGGAAGAGUUGGGAGCCACCAGCACAGCCAACGAAGAAGUUCACCGCAAACAGGCUCCAGUUUUUAGGAAUAAUAACUAGAGAGUACCUUGACCAAAUAAGGCCUGUGGCCAUUAACACUGCAGACUGUGCUGUGCUGAGCUUUUCUGCCGGUCUGGUCAUAUCAGCCAUUCCAGCGCAUACCAAACCCCAUUUCAUAAUAGGUGCCCAGAAGAAGACUGUCUUGGGACCGGCCGGGUGGUUGUAGAAGGGCCGGAACCGCGGCGGCAGCAUCAGCUCGAUGCGGUCGAGCAGGCGGUGGUAGGAGGCGCGCAGCCCCGUGACGGCGGCCGCCAUGUCGGCACAGCGAGAAGCUCCUCGGCGACCGGCGUGUCGGCGUACCGCUCGGUCGCACUGCCGGCGGCUCCGUUCCCCCCGCGACCCGCCGUCCUUCCGCCGCGCCCCGCCCCCGCCACCCUCGCGCCGGA